RNAcentral lists this ribosomal RNA (892 nucleotides) under uncultured bacterium. Its description in RNAcentral is "bacterial SSU rRNA". It matches the Rfam family "Bacterial small subunit ribosomal RNA", at positions 12 to 905 of the family's 1533-position model. The record is from RNAcentral.
UUUGAUCCUGGCUCAGGAUGAACGCUAGCGGCAGGCCUAAUACAUGCAAGUCGAGGGGUAAGGCUCACUUCGGUGAGUACACGACCGGCGCACGGGUGCGUAACGCGUAUGCAACCUACCUUUAACAGGAGAAUAGCCCCGAGAAAUCGGGAUUAACACUCCAUAACACUGCGAAGUGGCAUCACUAUGCAGUUAAAACUCCGGUGGUUAAAGAUGGGCAUGCGUGACAUUAGAUAGUUGGUGAGGUAACGGCUCACCAAGUCUACGAUGUCUAGGGGUUCUGAGAGGAUGAUCCCCCACACUGGUACUGAGACACGGACCAGACUCCUACGGGAGGCAGCAGUAAGGAAUAUUGGUCAAUGGACGCAAGUCUGAACCAGCCAUGCCGCGUGCAGGAAGACAGCCUUAUGGGUUGUAAACUGCUUUUAUACAGGAAUAAACCCCCUUUCGUGAAAGGGGCUGAAGGUACUGUACGAAUAAGGACCGGCUAACUCCGUGCCAGCAGCCGCGGUAAUACGGAGGGUCCAAGCGUUAUCCGGAUUUAUUGGGUUUAAAGGGUGCGCAGGCGGACCUAUCAGUCAGUGGUGAAAUCUCUCGGCUUAACCGGGAAACUGCCAUUGAUACUGUAGGUCUUGAGUUUGGUUGAAGUGGGCGGAAUGUAGCAUGUAGCGGUGAAAUGCAUAGAUAUGCUACAGAACACCGAUCGCGAAGGCAGCUCACUAAACCAAAACUGACGCUCAGCACGAAAGCGUGGGUAGCGAACAGGAUUAGAUACCCUGGUAGUCCACGCCGUAAACGAUGAUCACUCGUUGUUGGCGAUACACAGUCAGCGACCAAGCGAAAGCGAUAAGUGAUCCACCUGGGGAGUACGUUCGCAAGAAUGAAACUCAAU